RNAcentral lists this long non-coding RNA (2547 nucleotides) under Calidris pygmaea (Spoon-billed sandpiper). RNAcentral describes it as "lncRNA (ENSCPGG00000004023.1)". The stretch from base 1724 to 1807 matches the Rfam family "mir-143 microRNA precursor family". Lineage: Eukaryota; Metazoa; Chordata; Aves; Charadriiformes; Scolopacidae. The record is from RNAcentral.
UCAUAUAAGGUAAAAAGAAAAAGGUUUUCCAGCUUCUAAGCAGCCUGGAAGGAGUUUUUCACCGAGGGCUCCCAUGCCAGCCGCUUAAAAAACCCCGGCUGGCAGCGCCGGGGUCCCAGUGGCAGGUUAUAAUGUGCCGGGAGGAGGUGGCGGGCAUGUGCCCAUGUCCCCACGGUGUCCCGCUGCAGGUGUGGGGCGGCAGGAUCAGCCGUGGGAGUCCCCGGGGACAUCGAAGCUGCUGAAGGCACAUGACGACUGUACAGCCCCAGGAACUUGGCCAGCAAGGAGAGACGGGCAGAGCUGGCAUGUCACCACGCUGCCAGCGUGGGCACCACCGCGGGCCCUUUCCCUGGGCACAGGCAGCCGCACGCUGCGGGCAAACCCGCCCCUGUUCCCCACUGCCCAGCAAAGCGGGGGGCUGCCCCCUGGGGCUGGGUCCCAGGGCAUUCUGCAGUGCUGCACAUCGCUCCUGGCUGCAAGCACGGCGUCCCCUUCCUGGGGGUGUGCGUGGGGCCGGGGCACUGCCCAGCAGGGCCAGCAGUGGGGCAGAGGCUCUGCAAAGGCAGAGAGGGUCCCUGCGGCACCUCCCCUGGCUCUGAGUCCCCGUGGCUAUUCCCACACUUGGCCGGAGCUCGGGGCUGGCCCGGCCGUGGCUGCUAUGGAGACAACCCCGCGCUGGCCAAGGCUGCUCCCAAACCUCCUUCCCGACUGAUGGAUUCCGCAAGCCUGGGGCACCACGGGGCUCUUUUCCCCACUCUUUCUUACCGAGAACCGGGGGCAGCGGAAGGGGGAGCCCGGCACAUCGCACGGGGUGGGUUCUGCCCCAGUUCCCAGCUGGGCGCACCCGGCCGGGGGGGGGGCCGGUGCCGGAUGCAGGGGCUCAUGCCGGAGAUGCACCAUCUGCUUCUCGUCAGGCUGCUGGGAGCGCCGCGGCUGCCGGGGCCCGGCAGCGGGACACGGUUGUGAUAGAUCGUCUGUUUAUCACGUUUCGGCUCUGCUCAGGAUGUUAGUGUUCGCCUGCGAAAGACAUUCUUGGGCUUGGCUGCUCCCUCCAUCCUCCCUCUCCUCCUGUUUCUCCUCGGAUCCUCGCCCUCGCAUCUGGAUGGGCUGAAGCCCGUCCAGACUCUAGGAUGAAGGUCCAGGGGUCAUCCCUCCUGCAGCCUCUGGUCCUCGCCCAUGGGAAGGGGUGGGCUCGGUCCUGCUGCCCUGGGAACAGAUCAGGCCAAUGUCUGAGCUUCGGAAGCUGAGGCUGAAGCCUUCCCAAGGGUACUGGCUGACUGCAGGCUCUCCUCUGAUGGAGACUGGGACAGGGACAAGGGUGGGGAGGGACAGCAGGACCUUUCAUACACUCCUCAUCCUCCAGGGCAGGGAAGGGACAGAGGGCAGGGAUGGAUGAUACCCACAGCCCCACACCAUCCUAGAGUCCCCUGGCCCCACUGAGUGACAGCCCCGGGGAGGAGGCUCCACACCAGCUCUUGGGAGGGGGGGAGCUACACAGAUUUGGAGGUAAAACUUCCCCCACCUGUCCCUACCCCGUCUGUCCCUGCAGAGCUGGGGCCAGGCGGAGCUACCAAACACAGGUCUAUCUGCCGUUGUGUUGGGGCUGGGGACAAGGGAUACACACGGCUCUGGAGGUGGGGAGACCUCUUUGCUGGCACCCAGGCGGGCAGGCAGACACACGGACACACAUCAGCUGCAGUGAGGGUGGCUGCGAGCUCCUCCAUGUCUCCCAGCCCAAGGUGCAGUGCUGCAUCUCUGGUCAAUUGGGAGUCUGAGAUGAAGCACUGUAGCUCGGGAAGGGAGGAACUGCGCACCCUGGGGACCUCUGGGACCCCCAUCCACCGGGACAAGUGACGCAAGGAGAGCUGAGCCCUGGCUAUGAGAAAGGGCUCAGCCCAAAGCUCCAGCUCCCUGCAGAGAGCAAGGGUCAGAGGAGGGUGGGGAGGUUUCUCUUUGCAGCAGAGGGACCCCUGAGUCUGCUGGGGACCCCCUGGCCUGCUGCUGGGCACCAGAGGGAAGGGUCACACAGAAAGGUGGGAGCCCAGUGCGGUGGGAGGGGACAGCAGGGACUCCCAUCAGCCACAUGCGGAGUCCAUCCGGCAGCAAGGACACCCGGGGCUGGCGGAGAGCCUGGGUCGCCGUGCCCUCAGGGUCCAGUUUUCCCAGGAAUCCCUUAGGCGCUACGUUGGGGAUUCCUGGAAAUACUGUUCUUGGGGCCACGGCUCAGCGGCUGGAGAUGGCCCAUCCCAUGAGGAGCCACAGCUUGAGGAAGAGCCAGCGACCGAGGUAUGGGGCCACGCAGGGGAGGGGGGGGCUGCGAGUGGGAGGGGGAGCCCUGUGGCUACCCUAAACACGGGGAGGUGGGUAACCCAGCCCAGGCAGCUACUCCAUGCUGGGGGGUGAGGGAUGUCCCUGUGGGUCACCGUUCACCGCAAGAGGAUGCUGCUGGUGGGCAGAUGGCCUCGCACAGCGCUCCUGUCCUUGCAUGUGCCACCUAACCACCCUGGGGUCAAUAAAGGUUUCGAUUCCUGAGUGACUGUCCUGGCU